CGGCAGGCUUAACACAUGCAUGUCGAGGGGUAACGAUCCCGCUUCGGUGGGAGGCGACGACCGGCAAAUGGGUGAGUAAUACAUAUGCAACUUGCCCGUAGCUGGAGGAUAGCUUCCGGAAACGGAAAUUAAUACUCCAUAAUAUCCUAAUAUCGCAUGUUAUAAGGAUUAAAGUUUCGACGGCUACGGAUGGGCAUAUGUCCCAUUAGCUUGUUGGUGAGGUAACGGCUCACCAAGGCUACGAUGGGUAGGGGGCCUGAGAGGGUGAUCCCCCACACUGGUACUGAGACACGGACCAGACUCCUACGGGAGGCAGCAGUGAGGAAUAUUGGUCAAUGGGCGAAAGCCUGAACCAGCCAUGCCGCGUGCAGGAUGACUGUCCUAUGGAUUGUAAACUGCUUUUCUGCAGGAAGAAACGCUUCUACGUGUAGAGGUUUGACGGUACUGCAGGAAUAAGCAUCGGCUAACUCCGUGCCAGCAGCCGCGGUAAUACGGAGGAUGCAAGCGUUAUCCGGAUUCAUUGGGUUUAAAGGGUGCGUAGGCGGAUUGGUAAGUCAAAGGUGAAAGUCUGUAGCUUAACUAUAGAAGUGCCUUUAAUACUGUCGGUCUUGAGUAUGGGAGAGGGAGAUGGAAUUCCAGGUGUAGCGGUGGAAUGCGUAGAUAUCUGGAAGAACACCAGUUGCGAAGGCGGUCUCCUGGACCAAUACUGACGCUGAUGCUCGAAAGCUGGGGGAGCGAACAGGAUUAGAUACCCUGGUAGUCCCAGCCGUAAACGAUGGACACUAGUUGCCGGAGGAGUCAAUCCCUUCGGUGACGAAGCUAACGCAUUAAGUGUCCCGCCUGGGGAGUACGCUCGCAAGGGUGAAACUCAAAGGAAUUGACGGGGGCCCGCACAAGCGGUGGAGCAUGUGCUUUAAUUCGAUGCAACGCGAAGAACCUUACCUGGGUUUGACAUGGGGGUGAAAGUUUCCAGAGAUGGAAGCCUUUCCUUCGGGAACACCCCACACAGGUGCUGCAUGGUUGUCGUCAGCUCGUGUCGUGAGAUGUUGGGUUAAGUCCCGCAACGAGCGCAACCCCUGCCCUUAGUUGCCAUCAGGUAAAGCUGGGAACUCUAAGGGGACAGCUUGGUAUAACCAGGAGGAAGGUGGGGAUGACGUCAAAUCAUCAUGGCUCUUACGCCCAGGGCUAGACACGUGCUACAAUGGCAGGUACAGUGGGAUGCCAGCCUGCGAAGGUGAGCUAAUCCCUUAAAACCUGUCUCAGUCCGGAUUGGAGUCUGCAACUCGACUCCAUGAAGUUGGAAUCGCUAGUAAUCGCGGAUCAGCAUGCCGCGGUGAUACGUUCCCGGGCCUUGUACACACCGCCCGUCAAGCCAUGAAAGGCGGUAGUACCCGAAGUCGCGUACC
RNAcentral lists this ribosomal RNA (1406 nucleotides) under uncultured organism. Its description in RNAcentral is "partial 16S ribosomal RNA". It matches the Rfam family "Bacterial small subunit ribosomal RNA". The record is from RNAcentral.